Long non-coding RNA from Equus caballus (horse), 1579 nucleotides. The record is from Ensembl. NCBI's taxonomy places the organism in Eukaryota, Metazoa, Chordata, Mammalia, Perissodactyla, Equidae.
CCCAGGCCAUGGUUCCUCAUAAAGCUUUGUUUAAUUUUCUCUUGCUAUUCUGUCUCAGGUGAAUUUAAUUCGUUCUCCAGCCAGACGAACCCACAUUUGGGGAGAGGAAAUGUCCUCCUCCCCUACAGAGGUGACCUUUCACAUGAGGGAUUUAUAUCCUCAGAGGUCAGAGAUCUAAGCAAGAGAAAGACAGACAAAUCCAUUGAAAGCACAUUCUAAAAAAUACCUGACCAGUGUGCCUCAAAACUGUCAAGGUCAUCACAAAGAAGAAAUCUGAGCCAAGUGGAGCCUAAGGGGACAUGAGGAUGGAAUGUGAUCUCCUGAUGGGACUCCGGAACAGAAAGAGGACAGUAGGAUAAAAAAGAAAAAAAAUUAAGGAAAUCUAAAUAAACUAUGGACUAUGGCUAAUAAUAAUAAUAAAAAUAUUGGUUCAUUAAUUGUAACAAAUGUACCAUACUAAUGUAAGAUAUUAAUAAUAGGGGAAACUGGGCCCGGGGUACAAUGGAAACUGUACUAUCUUUCCAGUUUUUCUGUAAAUCUCAAAUUGUUCUAAAAGUGAAAGGUUAUUUAAAAAAAAAAAAGUUCUAGCUUGGUAAAUUCUUAGAAAUCCAGUGAAUGGGAGUGCAUCCCAUUGCCCAUCCCCACCCAUAGGACGUCCAUAGUCAAAGGAACUGAAUCUACCAUUAUUAACGCACAUAUGCCUAGUCUUUGUGUUCUGUGAUAUUCAAAAUUUUCUCUAAACAGCUCAUCCAAUCUCAUUCUUUGCACUCAGUGAGGGUCUGAAUGUCUUUCCCCGAGUCCUGUGGAGGGAGGAAUUCUUGCCUCAAAAUCCUGUUUUCCUUUUUCAUCAUCCCCACCCUCCACCCUCCACCCUGAUUACCAUUUGCUUUCAUGUCAACUCCCUCUAUGCUGGCCCCUCAGCCUUUCCAUCCCUCCCACAGAUGGCAUUUGUAAUCGUGGAAGUGGGAACCUCGACCUUGGCCGUCGACCCGCCUGUGGCCCGCCCAGACCUGUCUUAGCUAAGAAUCCUGCUAAGCCACCCCUCCACCUUUGAUACUCACCACCCUGUAUCUGAUCAAAUUUCUCAUCCCACACAGUUUAAUGUCCAAGUCCUCCAACUGCCUUUAGCAGGAAUCCUGCGAGGCCGGUUUAGUAAGAAUUCCUCACCCCUGGCAUCUCCUCUUGUACUUUCCCAUCCGCUGACCCCUCUCUCUGCUCCGUGGCUGUAAAUUCCCAUUUCUCCUUGUUGUAUUUGGAGUUGAGAUCAAUCUGUCUCCUCUACUGAGAUCAACUUGACCCUGAAGGCAUUCGGAAAUGCCCCCCCAAACUGUGCUGUUCUGGCAUAUUGACUAUUUUGAGUUAAAGGCAUUGAAAACACAGAAAAUACAAGAAAAACACUCUAUGACCUUCCUUCUUUUCCUUAAAAGCAGGAGAUGAAAUUCCCAUAUGAAAAAUGUCUUUCCUAUCCAGAAGGAAAGCCACAUUCUUGUCAUCAAGGACUAAAAGCUAAGAGAGAAUUCCAAAGCAUUUAAGAAGGUCCAAACAGAUCUUGAAAUAACUAUCUUCCCUGAGCCUCCCC